UCAGUUGUGAAAGUUUGCGGCUCAACCGUAAAAUUGCAGUUGAUACUGGGUACCUUGAGUGCAGCAUAGGUAGGCGGAAUUCGUGGUGUAGCGGUGAAAUGCUUAGAUAUCACGAAGAACUCCGAUUGCGAAGGCAGCUUACUGGACUGUAACUGACGCUGAUGCUCGAAAGUGUGGGUAUCAAACAGGAUUAGAUACCCUGGUAGUCCACACAGUAAACGAUGAAUACUCGCUGUUGGCGAUACACAGUCAGCGGCCAAGCGAAAGCAUUAAGUAUUCCACCUGGGGAGUACGCCGGCAACGGUGAAACUCAAAGGAAUUGACGGGGGCCCGCACAAGCGGAGGAACAUGUGGUUUAAUUCGAUGAUACGCGAGGAACCUUACCCGGGCUUAAAUUGCAGUGGAAUGUAGUGGAAACAUUACAGCCUUCGGGCCGCUGUGAAGGUGCUGCAUGGUUGUCGCCAGCUCGUGCCGUGAGGUGUCGGCUUAAG
RNAcentral lists this ribosomal RNA (491 nucleotides) under uncultured bacterium. Its description in RNAcentral is "bacterial SSU rRNA". It matches the Rfam family "Bacterial small subunit ribosomal RNA", at positions 588 to 1084 of the family's 1533-position model. The record is from RNAcentral.